AAACCCUGAUGCUGGGAAAGACUGAAGGCAGGAGGAGAAGAGGAUGACAGAGGAUGAGAUGGUUGGAUGGCAUCACCGACUCAAUGGACAUGAGUUUGAGCAAGCUCCAAGAGUUGGUGAUGGACAGGGAAGCCUGGCGUGCUGUAGUCCAUGGGGUUGCAAAGAGUCGGACACAACUGAGCAACUGAACUGAACUGAGCUGGGUGCUGUGAUCUCUGCUUUUUACAGGUGGGAAGGUGUUGCUGAGUGAGUUGAAUGGCUGGCUUCCAGGUCCUGUGGCCAGGUGUCUGAUUCAAGCUUCUUUCUGCUAGUUUUUUUUUUUUUUCUGUAAGAUGGAGUGGGAUUGACAGUAUAAUCUAAAAGUCCAGUGUCCCAGCACAAGGCUAAGAGGAUUCAGAUAUGACUUAGGCUAGGCCUGGCAUGCUGCAGUCCAUGGGGUCGCAAAGAGUCAGACAUGACUGAGCGACCUAACUGAACUGAACUGAGGUUUGGGCACUGAGGCCACCAGAAAUGUGUUUGUCUGAUGAACUAAGGAAUCUGCGGGGAGAGAAGUCACCUGAGGAAGAUGGACUCAGGCAGAUGCACUCAGCCUGACACUGAGCAUGAUACGGGGAAGGGGUCAUCGAGACCACAGCAGGCCCGGGCACAGCUGGGGGCCUCAGCGGUGACUGAGCCAAGGCAAGAGGACCUGAGGGAGACACAGAUGCCUGGAUGGGACGAAGCAAGGAAAUGUUCGGCUGCCCUUGGAAGGGUUUGAUGUCAUCACACCAGGAGCUGGGAUGCUGGAUUGAUGGAGAGGGGCUGGGCUGAGGACCCCUGUGUAGGGAUUUGGCAAGCAAUGGCUUUUAUUCAUUCACUGUGUGACAGGCACUUCAUUAAGACAUAAGAGAAAGAGUCCAUAAAAUAUUAAGGGG
This is a long non-coding RNA of Bos indicus x Bos taurus (hybrid cattle), 914 nucleotides long. The record is from Ensembl. Lineage: Eukaryota; Metazoa; Chordata; Mammalia; Artiodactyla; Bovidae.